AUUUUGCAGGUUUAAAGCUGCAAAAUGAGGCUUCUCCUAUUAUUACUUGCAGCAACCAUCUGCUAUGUACAUGCCGACAAGUCACACAAGUUGCUGGCAGCUAUUAUAGCAGGCAUGAAUGGAGGAAUGUCAAAUGGAGUUAUACCCGUCAGGAUGGCUGGAGGCCUGAACCCUCCUGUGGUGGCUGUUGGUGGGACAGGUUUUGUCGGACAG
This is a long non-coding RNA of Notolabrus celidotus (New Zealand spotty), 213 nucleotides long. RefSeq lists it as uncharacterized. The record is from RefSeq and is a predicted model, not a curated record. The transcript has 3 exons. Lineage: Eukaryota; Metazoa; Chordata; Actinopteri; Labriformes; Labridae.